RNAcentral lists this transfer RNA (72 nucleotides) under Heterocephalus glaber (naked mole-rat). It matches the Rfam family "tRNA". From Rfam's summary of the family: Transfer RNA (tRNA) molecules are approximately 80 nucleotides in length. Their secondary structure includes four short double-helical elements and three loops (D, anti-codon, and T loops). Lineage: Eukaryota; Metazoa; Chordata; Mammalia; Rodentia; Bathyergidae. The record is from Rfam by way of RNAcentral.
AGGAAUGUAGCUCAGCAGUAGAGCUUUUGCCUAGCAUGCAUGCAGCCCUAGGUUCAAUUCCCAGUAUUGCCA